RNAcentral lists this ribosomal RNA (253 nucleotides) under uncultured bacterium. RNAcentral's name for it is "partial 16S ribosomal RNA". It matches the Rfam family "Bacterial small subunit ribosomal RNA", at positions 524 to 776 of the family's 1533-position model. The record is from RNAcentral.
GACGGAGGAUGCAAGCGUUAUCCGGAAUUAUUGGGCGUAAAGGGCUCGUCGGCGGUCUGUCGCGUCGGGAGUGAAAACUCAGGGCUUAACCCUGAGCCUGCUUCCGAUACGGGCAGACUAGAGGUAUGCAGGGGAGAACGGAAUUCCUGGUGUAGCGGUGAAAUGCGCAGAUAUCAGGAGGAACACCGGUGGCGAAGGCGGUUCUCUGGGCAUUACCUGACGCUGAGGAGCGAAAGUGUGGGGAGCGAACAGG